RNAcentral lists this ribosomal RNA (408 nucleotides) under uncultured bacterium. RNAcentral describes it as "partial 16S ribosomal RNA". It matches the Rfam family "Bacterial small subunit ribosomal RNA", at positions 28 to 526 of the family's 1533-position model. The record is from RNAcentral.
GAUGAACGCUGGCGGCGUGCUUAACACAUGCAAGUCGAACGAAGUGGCGAACGGGUGAGUAACACGUGGGUAACCUGCCUCUCUUUUUGGGAUAAGCUCUGGCAACGGGGUCUAAUACCGAAUAAAGGCGGAUGGGUUCGCGGCCUAUCAGCUUGGUGGUGGGGUGAUGGCCUACCAAGGCGGUGACGGGUAGCCGGCCUGAGUGGGUAACCGGCCACAGUGGGACGGUGAUGAGGCCCAGACUCCGACGGGGGGCAGCAGUGGGGGAUAUUGCACAAUGGGCGAAGGCCUAAUGCAGCGGCGCCGCGUGGGGGAUGAAGGUUUUCGGGUUGUAAAACUAUUUAGCUAUAGAAGGGGUAGGUAGUGAGAAAGCGCCGGCUAACUACGUGCCAGCAGCCGCGGUAAUUC